CCUACGGGUGACAGCAGUGAGGAAUAUUGGUCAAUGGGCGAGAGCCUGAACCAGCCAAGUCGCGUGAGGGAGUACUGCCCUAUGGGUUGUAAACCUCUUUUGUCGGGGAGCAAAAGCCGUACGUGUCCGGCUGUGAGAGUACCCGAAGAAAAAGCAUCGGCUAACCCCGUGCCAGCAGCCGCGGUAAUACGGAGGAUGCGAGCGUUAUCCGGAUUUAUUGGGUUUAAAGGGUGCGCAGGCGGAUUUUUAAGUCAGCGGUAAAAUCGUGGGGCUCAACCCCAUCCAGCCGUUGAAACUGGGGAUCUAGAGUGUGCGAGAGGUAUGCGGAAUGCGUGGUGUAGCGGUGAAAUGCAUAGAUAUCACGCAGAACCCCGAUUGCGAAGGCAGCAUACCGGUGCACAACUGACGCUCAGGCACGAAAGCGUGGGUAUCGAACAGGAUUAGAUACCCGUGUAGUC
Molecule: ribosomal RNA, 458 nt
Filed under: uncultured bacterium
Lineage: Bacteria
Description: partial 16S ribosomal RNA
Rfam family: Bacterial small subunit ribosomal RNA
Source: RNAcentral